AUCAAGCAAUAAUUUGCCCCACCUUGCUGGCAAAUGGACCAACUUUAAUGUUUGACCCCUGUACAAACUGAAACUGACCUUUGUCACUAUUUUUGCUGUCUCUAUCCCAUACCUCCAGAACCUUCAGUCAUACAGAGU
Molecule: long non-coding RNA, 138 nt
Organism: Thalassophryne amazonica
Lineage: Eukaryota; Metazoa; Chordata; Actinopteri; Batrachoidiformes; Batrachoididae
Exons: 4
Source: RefSeq, a predicted model, not a curated record